UGAGGAGCAAUAGUGCGGAGGUGUCUGCCGUGUCAGACAUUCUCCGCACUGAGGAGUGCCAGAAACAUUGGCAUAUUAUAAAAUCUGAGGCAAGACGGAACACCCGCAAGCAGAGAGAAGCCAUGACUGCCACAGAUGGUGGACCUCCUGCCAACCCUCCUCUCUCCCAGCACAAUGAGUUAAUCUUUGAGAUUUUGGACCCUAAGAAUGUCUCUAUUCAUGGGUGUACCAAUAAGGCAAGCAUCAUUGAAUGCACCUUCCUUAACAAAGGAUAAGCCACUUGUAGAUAUAGCAAUAUUAGGCCAUAAUGUUGUCUCAAAUGUCUGCAAUCUAAAAUACUUGUUCCCACUUAGUUUACAACUUAGAGUUAAACACAAUAGUAAAUUUGUUAUCUAGUGUUGAGAAAAUUUCUUUUUUUUUUUAUUCUUUAACCAAACAGCUAAAACAGUAAUAAGAAAAGAAAAAAAAAAACUAAUAAAGUUAACUUAAUUCCUAUCCCUUCUCCCCCCUCAUAAAUAUGGUGUUGUAGUGGGUGAAUGUGUUAAUGAUAACGAGUCUUAGGUAUUUACAGUUUCUUAGACAUGGGCUUCCUUCAAACAUAAUAGGAUUUAAGUCAAACACAUUGUACCCUUAGCUAGAUUUACUGGUUUCUGUUACUUUUGUCCUUAGCAAUAAAACCAAAAACAUUAUCAGCUUAGUUUCUGAAGUUAGAACUAAUGAUGCCAGCAGUGUGCAGGCAGCAGAUGAUGCUGGGGAAGUGGCAGAGGCAGCCCAACAGAGAGAAGUGGUGACCGAGGCAGUGGGUGUUGAGGAGGAGGCACCUGCCACACCACUUGCAGCACCAACAGGGGCCAGACUUGCCUGGUACAUCACUGGUGUUUGUGGAUGAGGAGGAGAUCAUCCACCUGCAGAAGAAAAGGAAGCUUGAGCUUGCACUCCUUGAAGAAUCUAUAAUGGCUCAGGAAAGGAAGCAAGAAGCAGAACAGGCUAAGUACAUGUACUACACACAAAAACUAGAGUACCAGAAACAAACAAAUAAAAAAUAGUAAUAAAGAUAUAAAUAAUGUA
RNAcentral lists this long non-coding RNA (1068 nucleotides) under Portunus trituberculatus (swimming crab). Its description in RNAcentral is "uncharacterized LOC123509621". Lineage: Eukaryota; Metazoa; Arthropoda; Malacostraca; Decapoda; Portunidae. The record is from RNAcentral.